UACAGAGGGGGCAAGCGUUGUUCGGAAUUACUGGGCGUAAAGGGCGCGUAGGCGGCCUGCUAAGUCGAUCGUGAAAUCCCUCGGCUUAACCGGGGAACUGCGUCUGAUACUGGAUGGCUUGAGUUUGGGAGAGGGAUGCGGAAUUCCAGGUGUAGCGGUGAAAUGCGUAGAUAUCUGGAGGAACACCGGUGGCGAAGGCGGCAUCCUGGACCAACACUGACGCUGAGGAGCGAAAGCCAGGGGAGCAAACGGG
Molecule: ribosomal RNA, 253 nt
Filed under: uncultured bacterium
Lineage: Bacteria
Description: partial 16S ribosomal RNA
Rfam family: Bacterial small subunit ribosomal RNA
Source: RNAcentral